AAUAAGUGCAGUUUUGCACUGUUUAUGUUCAACGUUUAACUGCUUGUCUUAUUUGAAAUGUUAUUUUAUUAGUAUUUUAUUGUUAUUAGAUGAUAAAACAAGAAUAAUACUUUAUGUGUGACUAAUUUUUUUAAAAAAAUUCAUAUUUUUUUCAAAUAAGACGAACGAUCAACUGUUGGACACGGAUAUCCACGACUGCACUUAUU
This is a non-coding RNA of Oryza glaberrima (African rice), 206 nucleotides long. The record is from Rfam. Lineage: Eukaryota; Viridiplantae; Streptophyta; Magnoliopsida; Poales; Poaceae.